Cinara cedri is the source of this 423-nucleotide non-coding RNA. NCBI's taxonomy places the organism in Eukaryota, Metazoa, Arthropoda, Insecta, Hemiptera, Aphididae. The record is from the annotation of a GenBank genome assembly.
CACCUGGUCCGACUAUCGAAGACGAGGCAUCUUGUCUCCCAUUUAACAUCAGAUGCCGGAGGCUUGCGGGUAAAUUAAUUUUAAAAUCUUUAGUUCAACCAAAUCAUGAUAGAUUCGAUACUUAUUAUUCUCUUUUUCUCACUUGGCGCUAUACUCCUAAAUCAAUUCUUGUCCUAUCAAUUACAGCUCACUCACUAUUUUCACCUAUACGUCAUUAAAUCUAGCAAACUUCAUCUUUACGAACAAUCAUACGAUUUCCUCUUAAAUGCCCCUUCGUUCAAACCGAUAAUCAGUUUUCACAUAUGUCUUCUAACAAACUUAAAUUAAUGUCACUCCCUAUGGUCAAUAUCUUUUUUUCUAAUUACCUUAAGCUGAAUUUUCCCAAUUUCUUAACCAUCUAUACCAACAACGGUUCAGUCUCAC